CAGAGUUACAAACUCCCACAAACCAUCGCUGAACAUUACCUACAUAGUUGCUUCGGCGGGCUUGCCCGGCCGCUCCCGUGUGCCCCGGAUCAGGCGCCCGCCUAGUGGCAACGUAUACACUCUUGUUAUUUAGGACAUUCAUCUGAGUAGCUAUACUUAAAUAAUA
Molecule: unclassified non-coding RNA, 166 nt
Filed under: soil metagenome
Description: partial internal transcribed spacer 1
Source: RNAcentral